Molecule: ribosomal RNA, 252 nt
Filed under: uncultured bacterium
Lineage: Bacteria
Description: partial 16S ribosomal RNA
Rfam family: Bacterial small subunit ribosomal RNA
Source: RNAcentral
UACGUAGGGUGCGAGCGUUGUCCGGAAUUAUUGGGCGUAAAGGGCUCGUAGGCGGUUUGUCGCGUCGGGAGUGAAAAUCCAGGGCUUAACUCUGGACUGGCUUCCGAUACGGGCAGACUAGAGGUAUGCAGGGGAGAACGGAAUUCCUGGUGUAGCGGUGAAAUGCGCAGAUAUCAGGAGGAACACCGGUGGCGAAGGCGACAUCCUGGACCGGUAUUGACGCUGAGGCGCGAAAGCCAGGGAGCAAACGGG